This 82-nucleotide transfer RNA is filed under the name Nematostella vectensis (starlet sea anemone). RNAcentral describes it as "tRNA-Ser". It matches the Rfam family "tRNA". Rfam says of the family: Transfer RNA (tRNA) molecules are approximately 80 nucleotides in length. Lineage: Eukaryota; Metazoa; Cnidaria; Anthozoa; Actiniaria; Edwardsiidae. The record is from Rfam by way of RNAcentral.
GUUGCGAUGGCUGAGUGGUUAAGGCGUUGGACUAGAAAUCCAAUGGGAUCUUCCCGCGCAGGUUCGAAUCCUGCCCGCAACG